RNAcentral lists this long non-coding RNA (866 nucleotides) under Pogona vitticeps (central bearded dragon). Its description in RNAcentral is "lncRNA (ENSPVIG00000016880.1)". The record is from RNAcentral. Lineage: Eukaryota; Metazoa; Chordata; Lepidosauria; Squamata; Agamidae.
UUGUCAAAUAAAACCCACAUGCAUUUGUUUGUUUCAGCUGUGUGCAGCCGGAAAUGUCUGUAUGGCGGAAUAUGUAUAUUGCCAAAUGUUUGUGCUUGUCGUCCUGGCUAUGGUGGAGUCACUUGCAGCAAAAAAAGUCUGGUACGUCACACCUGAAGAACAAAUCCGAACUCCUUGGAUUGCGUAAGCAUGCUGCACAGAUUACAUGGUUCUUAGAUGCAGAAAGGUUCUGUUGAGACAUCACUUCAUAAAGGGCAGAAUCCAGCCACUUCCAUAUACUGCAUAUGGACCUACUCUAAGCAGGAACAUUCCCUUCCUCUCUUCUGUACUUUGCUAGUUCUGAUAAGGGAAUAGUUUUGCUGCAAGCCAUUGAUGCUAAACAGAAGCCCUCCUGCUGUUCACCUGUAAGCACCCAGCGGCUUGCUGCUUCUCAGGCCCGUGGCACAUACCAUUCUUCCAGCAGAAAUACAGCAGCACCCUGCUAGGUACCUGGCUGCUGAAUAAUUAUAGGUAAUGUCAAGACAAACAUAGGUUUUCUAUGAAUGGUGAGCAGGUUGUCCAAGUGAGCACAGCAUUCCAGAGGUGUACAGGAGUAUACCAGUGGAAAACAAUACAACUGCAUUACACUCCUCCAUCUCUUACUCUUUGCCUCUAGAAGAAGCUGGAGUGUGCAGUGUUCAUCAAAGUCUGAUGAGAAGCCUCAGUCUCAUUUGGAAACAGAUUCAUUUUAACAGAACUGGGGCUUGAAAUUUAAAGAUCUGAAACCUAAUACAUUGCUUUUCAUCUCUGUUUCCCUUGCCACCCUAGUACUAAAAACCAUGGCUAUUGAUUUGUAUAAUAAAUAUUUAGAUAAGGCGUAUGAUCCA